UAAGUAAGUCAGAUGAUCGCGCCCCUUAGUACCGAAAGGUCCGGGGUGAGGAAAGUCCGGGCUUCACAGGGCAGGAUGCCGGAUAACGUCCGGUGGAGGUGACUCCAAGGAUAGUGCAACAGAAAUAUACCGCCAGCCGCAUAGCUUGCUGUGCGAGGUAAGGGUGGAAGGGCAGUGUAAGAGACUACCGCCUGUGCGGUAACGUACAGGGCAUAUGUAAACCCCAUUCGAAGCAAGACCGAAUAGAAAGCGAUACGGCGGCCCGUCGUGCUUUCAGGUGGGUCGCUUGAGACUGUUGGCAACAGCAGUACGAGAUAGAUGAUCAUCACCGGCUGUCCUUGUGACAGCGGCACAUAACCCGGCUUACAGACUUGCUUAUAAU
RNAcentral lists this RNase P RNA (382 nucleotides) under bacterium. RNAcentral describes it as "RNase P RNA component class A". It matches the Rfam family "Bacterial RNase P class A". Rfam says of the family: Ribonuclease P (RNase P) is a ubiquitous endoribonuclease, found in archaea, bacteria and eukarya as well as chloroplasts and mitochondria. Its best characterised activity is the generation of mature 5'-ends of tRNAs by cleaving the 5'-leader elements of precursor-tRNAs. The record is from RNAcentral.